AGAGUUUGAUUCUGGCUCAGGAUGAACGCUAGCGACAGGCUUAACACAUGCAAGUCGAGGGGCAUCACGGGAGUAGCAAUACAACUGGUGGCGACCGGCGCACGGGUGAGUAACGCGUAUGCAACCUACCUAUCAGAGGGGAAUAACCCGGCGAAAGUCGGACUAAUACCGCAUAAAACAGGGGCACCGCAUGGUGAUAUUUGUUAAAGAAAUUCGCUGAUAGAUGGGCAUGCGUUCCAUUAGGUAGUUGGUGAGGUAACGGCUCACCAAGCCGACGAUGGAUAGGGGAACUGAGAGGUUGGUCCCCCACACUGGUACUGAGACACGGACCAGACUCCUACGGGAGGCAGCAGUGAGGAAUAUUGGUCAAUGGGCGGGAGCCUGAACCAGCCAAGUCCGCGUGAAGGAAGAAGGAUCUAUGGUUCGUAAACUUCUUUUGCAGGGGAAUAAAGUGCAGGACGUGUCCUGUUUUGUAUGUACCCUGAGAAUAAGGAUCGGCUAACUCCGUGCCAGCCGCCGC
This 520-nucleotide ribosomal RNA is filed under the name uncultured bacterium. RNAcentral describes it as "bacterial SSU rRNA". It matches the Rfam family "Bacterial small subunit ribosomal RNA", at positions 8 to 518 of the family's 1533-position model. The record is from RNAcentral.